GCAUAACGCGAAGAACCUUACCAAGGCUUGACAUACACGAGAACACCGUAGAAAUACGGGACUCUUUGGACACUCGUGAACAGGUGGUGCAUGGUUGUCGUCAGCUCGUGUCGUGAGAUGUUGGGUUAAGUCCCGCAACGAGCGCAACCCUCGUUCUAUGUUGCCAGCACGUUAUGGUGGGAACUCAUGGGAUACUGCCGGGGUCGAACUCGGAGGAAGGUGGGGAUGACGUCAAAUCAUCAUGCCCCUUAUGUCUUGGGCUUCACGCAUGCUACAAUGGCCGGUACAAUGGGCUGCAAUACCGUGAGGUGGAGCGAAUCCCAAAAAGCCGGUCCCAGUUCGGAUUGAGGUCUGCAACUCGACCUCAUGAAGUCGGAGUCGCUAGUAAUCGCAGAUCAGCAACGCUGCGGUGAAUACGUUCCCGGGUCUUGUACACACCG
This 440-nucleotide ribosomal RNA is filed under the name uncultured bacterium. Its description in RNAcentral is "bacterial SSU rRNA". It matches the Rfam family "Bacterial small subunit ribosomal RNA", at positions 954 to 1392 of the family's 1533-position model. The record is from RNAcentral.